RNAcentral lists this ribosomal RNA (425 nucleotides) under uncultured bacterium. Its description in RNAcentral is "bacterial SSU rRNA". It matches the Rfam family "Bacterial small subunit ribosomal RNA", at positions 356 to 773 of the family's 1533-position model. The record is from RNAcentral.
GGGGAAUCUUGGACAAUGGGGGCAACCCUGAUCCAGCGAUGCCGCGUGUGUGAAGAAGGCCUGCGGGUUGUAAAGCACUUUCGGUGGGGAAGAAAGCCUUAUUGUGAAGAGCGAUAAGGGGUGACGGUACCCACAAAAGCAGCACCGGCUAACUCUGUGCCAGCAGCCGCGGUAAUACAGAGGGUGCAAGCGUUAAUCGGAAUGACUGGGCGUAAAGGGCGUGUAGGCGGUGAUUUAAGUAGGGGGUGAAAGGCCUGGGCUCAACCUGGGGAUUGCCAACUAGACUGAAUGACUGGAGUCUUGGAGAGGAGAGUAGAAUUUCCGGUGUAGCGGUGAAAUGCGUAGAGAUCGGAAAGAAUACCGGUGGCGAAGGCGGCUCUCUGGCCAAAGACUGACGCUAAGGCGCGAAGGCGUGGGGAGCGAAC